CUCUCUCUCUCUCUCUCUCUCUCUCUCUCUCUCUCUCUCAGCUUUGGAUUAGUAACCCCGUUGACAGAAGUGACACCCGCGUUUUCUCUUCUCAGAUGUAAACAAAGCGGUAGAUUCCUUCCAGCUGGUGAUAAAACUUCCUCUCGCUCUCCCUCACUCUCCCACGUCACGGAAGUAGUGAUAUAAAGCACACGAGGAGGAAAGCAAUGGCAACCCUCCGAUCUGGCAAGCAGGUUGGCGGCAGCAAUGGCGGUGGCAGCGGCAGCAGUGGUGAGGUGGACGGCAGGGACAGAGGGGCAGUACAGGCUGCGGACAUCAAAGAGAAGAGGAACGCGCGGACAAGCAAGGUGGUAUUCGGUAGUCUGAUCCUGGACCUGCUCGGCUUCACGGUGGUGGUGCCUCUGUCUCCUGCUCUCCUCGACUGUUACUCCAAGCACGACUCCAGCGGCUUGUAUUCCUCUCUGCUCUCCUGUGUUACUUAUUACCAGCAUAUCAUCAGCGUUCCUGCGAGGUUCCACUCUGUCUUGUUUUGGUGGCACUGAUUGGCGUGACAUUCAGCAUAGGCUUCACCGUCGGGCACACUGUGGGGGCUGCGUUCUCCCGCUGGGGAAGUACUGGGUGGUUCACGGCCUCGGCUGUCUACGCACGCACUCUCACUGUGGCUAACAUAAUAUUCUUUGCUGUCUUCUUCCAGGAAUCGCUGCCUGAGGGCAGAAGGAGGAGGGACAUCGGUGCCAGUUUGACCGAGGCUUGGGAGGUGAUCAAUCCUAGGGCUCUGUUCUCCGUCAGCUGUGUCAAGGGCCUGGGCAGAGAAGCCUGGAGUUAACGCUGAUCUUCGCGACCCACCACAAGCAUAGUUACGACUCGUUGGCGCAGGACCACAAGUUUUCCUUCCUGCGCCUGGUCAUGGCAAUUACACAGAGAGGGUUUAUGCGAAGUGUUAAGACUGGAACUGAAAAAGCAACUGCCAAUUAGUGGUUAAUGACGAUGACUCCUGCUUUCAUCCUCAUCAGGGCUAGCAAGACCAACCUGGGGCUGUACUCUGGACUGACGCUGUAUGCCAUAGGUUCCUCUAUGAUGGUGCCCUGCCUCACUGCCCUCGCCUCCUGUCACGGCACGGCCUCUCACAAGGGUACCCUGUUUGGCAUUCGGAGGUCACCAGGGGCUCUUCCAAGGGCGUUCGGACCUGUUGUGACAUCAAUAGCUGGCGUUCGUGGAGUGUGACGUUCCCGUGGUGCCUGCUCUGGUGCGCUGGUUGUGUGGACAGGCGGUCAUCUUCUUCGUCCUCUUCGCAGAUUUCUACGCGAAGGCCUACCGCAGCAAGGAUAGGACCAAGGUCAAUGAAAAAUCUAAUGGGUUCGCUAAAGUGUCGCAAGGCAAUGGAUGUGAUGCUGGAGAGAAGGAAGAAGUUGCAGUAGCCAGUCAUAAAUCGCUUGCUGCUCCCUUCACCUGCGUGCCCUCAGGUUUUCAAGAUGUCAUUACGGAAAGGAAACAUGCUUACAAUUAGGACUUCUAUCCUGUCUCCUGCCCAGCAUCAAUCACGUCCCGGGAGAAACUUCACACUACCGGGCAGCCUCUGCCAUUCACCUAAGCAUGUUCUGGAUCAAGGGAACCAGUCCUUAGACGCAUAAUACUCGCCAAUAGGAAUCAUCAAUGGGGAAUGAUUUGAGUAACUCAUUAUAACUCAAGCGACCGGAUCCUGGCACCAGCCGCAUUAAUGCAUGGGAUACGCUGCUCUGGAAUGUCGACUUGUAAAUGUUCCUGCAAAUGUUUUGGAGAGGUAGUGUUAAGACUUUCAUA
This is an RNA transcript of Scylla paramamosain (green mud crab), 1800 nucleotides long. RefSeq lists it as uncharacterized. NCBI's taxonomy places the organism in Eukaryota, Metazoa, Arthropoda, Malacostraca, Decapoda, Portunidae. The record is from RefSeq and is a predicted model, not a curated record. The transcript is spliced from 10 exons.